UGUCUGGUUCGCGGCGGAGGGUGAGUAAUGCCUAGGAAUCUGCCUGGUAGUGGGGGACAACGUUUCGAAAGGAACGCUAAUACCGCAUACGUCCUACGGGAGAAAGCAGGGGACCUUCGGGCCUUGCGCUAUCAGAUGAGCCUAGGUCGGAUUAGCUAGUUGGUGAGGUAAUGGCUCACCAAGGCGACGAUCCGUAACUGGUCUGAGAGGAUGAUCAGUCACACUGGAACUGAGACACGGUCCAGACUCCUACGGGAGGCAGCAGUGGGGAAUAUUGGACAAUGGGCGAAAGCCUGAUCCAGCCAUGCCGCGUGUGUGAAGAAGGUCUUCGGAUUGUAAAGCACUUUAAGUUGGGAGGAAGGGCAGUAAAUUAAUACUUUGCUGUUUUGACGUUACCGACAGAAUAAGCACCGGCUAACUCUGUGCCAGCAGCCGCGGUAAUACAGAGGGUGCAAGCGUUAAUCGGAAUUACUGGGCGUAAAGCGCGCGUAGGUGGUUUGUUAAGUUGGAUGUGAAAUCCCCGGGCUCAACCUGGGAACUGCAUUCAAAACUGACAAGCUAGAGUAUGGUAGAGGGUGGUGGAAUUUCCUGUGUAGCGGUGAAAUGCGUAGAUAUAGGAAGGAACACCAGUGGCGAAGGCGACCACCUGGACUGAUACUGACACUGAGGUGCGAAAGCGUGGCGAGCAAACAGGAUUAGAUACCCUGGUAGUCCACGCCGUAAACGAUGUCAACUAGCCGUUGGGAGCCUUGAGCUCUUAGUGGCGCAGCUAACGCAUUAAGUUGACCGCCUGGAGAGUACGGCCGCAGGUAAAACUCAAAUGAAUUGACGGUGCCCGCACAAGCGGUGGAGCAUGUGGGUUAUUUCGAAGCAACGCGAAGAACCUUACAGGCUGACAUCAAUGACUUUCCAGAGAUGGAUUGGUGCCUUCGGUACUUGAGACAGGUCCUGCAUGGCUGUCGUCAGCUCGUGUCGUGAG
This 979-nucleotide ribosomal RNA is filed under the name bacterium enrichment culture clone SeA2. RNAcentral describes it as "bacterial SSU rRNA". It matches the Rfam family "Bacterial small subunit ribosomal RNA", at positions 85 to 1071 of the family's 1533-position model. The record is from RNAcentral.